Molecule: ribosomal RNA, 228 nt
Filed under: uncultured Sclerocystis
Lineage: Eukaryota; Fungi; Glomeromycota; Glomeromycetes; Glomerales; Glomeraceae
Description: partial small subunit ribosomal RNA
Rfam family: Eukaryotic small subunit ribosomal RNA
Source: RNAcentral
UUGGAGGGCAAGUCUGGUGCCAGCAGCCGCGGUAAUUCCAGCUCCAAUAGCGUAUAUUAAAGUUGUUGCAGUUAAAAAGCUCGUAGUUGAAUUUCGGGGUCAGCAGGUUGGUCGUGCCAAUGGUAUGUACUGGCCUUGGUGAUUCCUCCCUCUUGAUGAACCGUAAUGCCAUUAAUUUGGUGUUGCGGGGAAUCAGGACUGUUACUUUGAAAAAAUUAGAGUGUUUAA